CAGCAGCCACGGUAAUACGUAGGUGGCAAGCGUUGUCCGGAAUUAUUGGGCGUAAAGGGCUCGCAGGCGGUUUCUUAAGUCUGAUGUGAAAGCCCCCGGCUCAACCGGGGAGGGUCAUUGGAAACUGGGAAACUUGAGUGCAGAAGAGGAGAGUGGAAUUCCACGUGUAGUGGUGAAAUGCGUAGAGAUGUGGAGGAACACCAGUGGCGAAGGCGACUCUCUGGUCUGUAACUGACGCUGAGGAGCGAAAGCGUGGGGAGCGAACAGGAUUAGAUACCCCCGUAGUCCCUGUCUCUUAUAC
Molecule: ribosomal RNA, 301 nt
Filed under: uncultured bacterium
Lineage: Bacteria
Description: partial 16S ribosomal RNA
Rfam family: Bacterial small subunit ribosomal RNA
Source: RNAcentral